This 447-nucleotide ribosomal RNA is filed under the name uncultured bacterium. RNAcentral's name for it is "bacterial SSU rRNA". It matches the Rfam family "Bacterial small subunit ribosomal RNA", at positions 329 to 793 of the family's 1533-position model. The record is from RNAcentral.
CGCCAGACUCCUACGGGAGGCAGCAGUGGGGAAUAUUGCACAAUGGGGGAAACCCUGAUGCAGCGACGCCGCGUGAGCGAUGAAGUAUUUCGGUAUGUAAAGCUCUAUCAGCAGGGAAGAAAAUGACGGUACCUGACUAAGAAGCCCCGGCUAACUACGUGCCAGCAGCCGCGGUAAUACGUAGGGGGCAAGCGUUAUCCGGAUUUACUGGGUGUAAAGGGAGCGUAGACGGCAUGGCAAGCCAGAUGUGAAAUACCGGGGCUCAACCCCGGGACUGCAUUUGGAACUGUUAAGCUGGAGUGUCGGAGAGGCAGGCGGAAUUCCUGGUGUAGCGGUGAAAUGCGUAGAUAUCAGGAGGAACACCAGUGGCGAAGGCGGCUUACUGGACUGUAACUGACGUUGAGGCUCGAAAGCGUGGGGAGCAAACAGGAUUAGAUACCCUGGUAC